CCUACGGGUGGCAGCAGUGGGGAAUAUUGGACAAUGGGCGAAAGCCUGAUCCAGCCAUGCGCGUGUGUGAAGAAGGCCUUCGGGUUGUAAAGCACUUUCAGUGGGGAAGAAAGCCUUGGGGCUAAUACCCUCGAGGAAGGACAUCACCCACAGAAGAAGCACCGGCUAACUCCGUGCCAGCAGCCGCGGUAAUACGGAGGGUGCGAGCGUUAAUCGGAAUUACUGGGCGUAAAGCGCGCGUAGGCGGUCUGAUAAGCCGGUUGUGAAAGCCCCGGGCUCAACCUGGGAACGGCAUCCGGAACUGUCAGGCUAGAGUGCAGGAGAGGAAGGUAGAAUUCCCGGUGUAGCGGUGAAAUGCGUAGAGAUCGGGAGGAAUACCAGUGGCGAAGGCGGCCUUCUGGACUGACACUGACGCUGAGGUGCGAAAGCGUGGGUAGCAAACAGGAUUAGAUACCCUUGUAGUC
This 464-nucleotide ribosomal RNA is filed under the name Vreelandella stevensii. Its description in RNAcentral is "partial 16S ribosomal RNA". It matches the Rfam family "Bacterial small subunit ribosomal RNA", at positions 338 to 795 of the family's 1533-position model. The record is from RNAcentral. Lineage: Bacteria; Pseudomonadati; Pseudomonadota; Gammaproteobacteria; Oceanospirillales; Halomonadaceae.